GAUGAACGCUGGCGGCGUGCCUAAUACAUGCAAGUAGAACGCUGAAGGAAGGAGCUUGCUCUUUCCGGAUGAGUUGCGCACGGGUGAGUAACGCGUAGGUAACCUGCCUGGUAGCGGGGGAUAACUAUUGGAAACGAUAGCUAAUACCGCAUAACAGUAGAUGUUGCAUGAUUUCUACUUAAAAGGUGCAAUUGCACCACUACCAGAUGGACCUGCGUUGUAUUAGCUAGUUGGUGAGGUAACGGCUCACCAAGGCGACGAUACAUAGCCGACCUGAGAGGGUGAUCGGCCACACUGGGACUGAGACACGGCCCAGACUCCUACGGGAGGCAGCAGUAGGGAAUCUUCGGCAAUGGACGGAAGUCUGACCGAGCAACGCCGCGUGAGGGAAGAAGGUUUUCGGAUCGUAAAGCUCUGUUGUAAGAGAAGAACGAGGGUGAGAGUGGAAAGUUCACACUGUGACGGUAUCUUACCAGAAAGGGACGGCUAACUACGUG
RNAcentral lists this ribosomal RNA (497 nucleotides) under uncultured bacterium. RNAcentral describes it as "partial 16S ribosomal RNA". It matches the Rfam family "Bacterial small subunit ribosomal RNA", at positions 28 to 507 of the family's 1533-position model. The record is from RNAcentral.